GUUAUGUUCUUGAAACUUAAAGAAUUUGGCGGUAUCUCAUUCCGUUCAGAGGAAUCUGUCUCGUUAUCGAUAGUCCACGCUGGACCUUACUUAAUUGAUUUGGUUUGUAUACCGCCGUUUAUUGAUUAUCUUUUUAGAGUUUGCUUUAAUUUUCUGGUUUCUCUAUUUUGGUGUAUUUCAGGUCAAGGUGCAGCUUGUUUUUAAGUGGAAUGAUGGAUUACAUUGAUAUUUGUUUUAUGGAUUGUUGAUUUUAAUAUUGGCAUGAAAUUGGAUUUGGUUGUAAUGAUUUGUAGAUUGUUAUUAUGAUAUUGGUUCUGAGAUAUGUACACAUCGCCCGUCGCU
RNAcentral lists this ribosomal RNA (342 nucleotides) under Tenuirostritermes sp. 1 RCD-2018. RNAcentral describes it as "partial 12S ribosomal RNA". The record is from RNAcentral. Lineage: Eukaryota; Metazoa; Arthropoda; Insecta; Blattodea; Termitidae.